UGGAAAUGGUCUUUGACAGGGAGACUUUGAUAGAAGACGGCUGCUGCUCCCUCUCCAGAGCUCUGCACUAUCCCAUCUGUCCCCAGGGACUUUCCUUCUCCAUCUCUUCAGGAAGAGUCAACCUUUCUGCAGUUAAUGAUGUCCAAAGGGUCCUGGGAAAUCACUUCAUCACAGCUGUAAUGGAGUCUUUGGGAUGAUUUCCAGCAGUGGCCAGCUGUGAGCACCCUAGCAAGCUUUGCCAAAGAAGCACUUCCCAGUCAGGCUGGGCCAAGUCUUGAUCUUACUCCUCCAAUUAGAAGCCACGAGGGGAGAUACGGGCAGAUCUGGAAGAAGACAAGCAUCAUGACCAUCUGCUGAAGGAUGUGUUCCAUUUAAAUAAGAGAUGACUGGGGAGACCAUACCAGACAGAGAUGACUGAUGCUUUCCCCAGGUAUUCACGCUUGCCAAGUCUAUUCAGAAAAGUACUUCAGCAUUCCUGGACUCGUGGUGAACAAGCGGAGCCUCAUUCCCUGUGAUCAUAUAAAAAAGAUGCUUUCAUUUGCUGAACAGCGUGAUGUAGGAUUGUAUCAACCACUGGGCUUCUCAGACAAGGAGGAAGAAUUAUUUUACAUUUUCUGUGGCUUUGACAGAAGAUUUCACAGAAUAUAGCAGGAUAAGUAUAUUUCUUCUCUGUUUCUCUUAGUUAAGCUAGUUCCUGUAUUUAAUCUUUAUCACUAUUAACAAACAGUCAAGUCCCCAUCAACCCAGAUCCUCUUCUACUGACGAUUGUUAUGUCAGGAUAAGAAAGUAAACUGUUAUAUAGCAUGUGUUGAAUUAAAUAAGAACUUUAUUGUCAGAGUCCUCUCCUAUCUAAAUUGUCUCUGUUGUGCACAC
This is a non-coding RNA of Vicugna pacos (alpaca), 873 nucleotides long. NCBI's taxonomy places the organism in Eukaryota, Metazoa, Chordata, Mammalia, Artiodactyla, Camelidae. The record is from RefSeq and is a predicted model, not a curated record.